GACGAACGCUGGCGGCGUGCUUAACACAUGCAAGUCGAACGGAAAGGCCCUGCUUUUGUGGGGUGCUCGAGUGGCGAACGGGUGAGUAACACGUGAGUAACCUGCCCUUGACUUUGGGAUAACUUCAGGAAACUGGGGCUAAUACCGGAUAGGAGCUCCUGCUGCAUGGUGGGGGUUGGAAAGUUUCGGCGGUUGGGGAUGGACUCGCGGCUUAUCAGCUUGUUGGUGGGGUAGUGGCUUACCAAGGCUUUGACGGGUAGCCGGCCUGAGAGGGUGACCGGCCACAUUGGGACUGAGAUACGGCCCAGACUGCUACGGGAGGCAGCAGUGGGGAAUAUUGCACAAUGGGCGGAAGCCGGAUGCAGCAACGCCGCGUGCGGGAUGACGGCCUUCGGGUUGUAAACCGCUUUCGCCUGUGACGAAGCGUGAGUGACGGUAAUGGGUAAAGAAACACCGGCUAACUACGU
RNAcentral lists this ribosomal RNA (467 nucleotides) under uncultured bacterium. Its description in RNAcentral is "partial 16S ribosomal RNA". It matches the Rfam family "Bacterial small subunit ribosomal RNA", at positions 28 to 506 of the family's 1533-position model. The record is from RNAcentral.